This 90-nucleotide non-coding RNA is filed under the name Planktothrix tepida PCC 9214. RNAcentral's name for it is "Planktothrix sp. PCC 9214 Glutamine riboswitch aptamer (glnA leader)". It matches the Rfam family "Glutamine riboswitch aptamer (glnA leader)". RNAcentral also lists the same sequence under 1 other name. Lineage: Bacteria; Bacillati; Cyanobacteriota; Cyanophyceae; Oscillatoriales; Microcoleaceae. The record is from Rfam by way of RNAcentral.
AUCGUUCAUCUUUUGGUAGUCUUCUAAUCCUCGAAUAUCAAAAAGACUACUAGAAGACGGAAGUAGGGAGUUCUCCCGAAGGAACGCGCC